Molecule: long non-coding RNA, 1536 nt
Organism: Olea europaea var. sylvestris
Lineage: Eukaryota; Viridiplantae; Streptophyta; Magnoliopsida; Lamiales; Oleaceae
Exons: 2
Source: RefSeq, a predicted model, not a curated record
UUAUUCAAACAACUUUGUUCUUUUCCUCGUAGUAUUAUCAGCAGAACAAAAAACCUAACGGCAUUAUGAAACCUACACCAAGAAAGAUUCGUAAAAAUCUUAGUUCUCCAACCCCAAUUACAAAAGUAGCCACAAUACUACAAUUUGCUCAAAUUUCUAAGAUCCAUAUUCUUCCCUUCUCGGUAAAUCUCUCUUCAAAGUUGAUAGCUGAGUAUGGCAGAUUGGACCGAUCUUCCAACGGACAUUUUGGUUGUUGUCGCACAAUGUUUAACUGUGACAGAGGAUUUUACUUCCUUUACCGCUGUUUGUAAAUCAUGGCAAUCAGUGACUUCAAUAUUGAAGAAGAAACCUUCAUUGCCUACUAGAUAUCCUCGGAUCAUGCUUGCUGAAAAAAUAGAUAUCGAAGAUCAAGAGAAUUGAGAUGAUCAAGAUGCAUCGAUUCGUUGCUUUCUAAACUUAUUAACGUCAAAGACAUAUCAACUCCAGUUGCCAGAAGCGAGUGGCAGGAUGUGCCCAGGAGCACAUUACGGAUGGUUGUGGACAAUUGGCAUUGAUUUACAAAUCAGUUUAUUGCACCCCUUCUCCAGACAACAAAUUUGCCUACCUUCUAUGCUGACCUUCCCUGAUCAGUAUGAAUAUAGUGAGAAAUUCAAGCCACAAGAGGUUUGGAAUUUAUAUGUUUGGAAAAUAGCGAUGUCCUCAAAUCCUCUUAAGGAGAAAAGUUUACAUGAUUAUAAUGAGGUUUGUAUUAUAGUUGCUAUUUAUGGAGGAUUUUGUAUAUUGGCUUUUACAAAAUUAGGAGAUACUGUUUGGACCAAUAUCUCCAUCCCUUCUCGCGUUUAUCAAGAUAUUAUUUUCUAGAAUGGUAAAUUUUAUGCUGUAGAUGCUCAUGGAGUUGUAGUUGUUUGUGAGUUUGAUGAUGCCAAUGGCACAAAAGCAACAGUCAAUGCCCCAGCUCCAAUUGAAACGAAUGACACAUAUCAGAAGUACCUAGUCGAAUCAUCAGGACAUCUUCUACUUGUUGCUCGUUUCCGAAAGGGGUUUCAUUUUAUGAUGACGACGACAACAAUGAUGUAGAGGAAGACGAUGUUGAUGUUGAUGGUAAUGAUAAUGAUAAUGUUGAUGAGGUGGAGGAUGUCAAAGAUAGUGGCAACGAAGAGGAAGAGGAAGCUAGAUACCAUACAACUGGCAUUUUUGUUUGGAGGCUAGAUGAAUGUCAUGAGGAAGGGAGUAAUUAUGCAUAUAGAUUAACUCGAGUGACUAGUUUAGGAGAUCAAGCAUUGUUCUUAGGUAGUAAUGUAUAUACAUCAAUUGCCUUGUCAGAAUGUAUCAAGCAAAAUUGCAUAUACUUUACAGAUGAUAAUGCUGACCUCUAUUUCGACGAACCAGGCGGUGGUGGCCAUGACACUGGAAUAUUUAACAUGGAAGAUGGAACCGUUCUUCAAUUAAAUUAUGCAAGAGAAUCUCGUAGUAAUAUUUCACCUCCAUUGUGGUACAUUUGAUUUUCAAGGAUUAAUUGCAUUUUUUGUUUUGUCA